GUCCCGCAACGAGCGCAACCCUUGUCUUUAGUUACCAUCAUUCAGUUGGGGACUCUAGAGAGACUGCCGGUGAUAAACCGGAGGAAGGUGGGGGAUGACGUCAAAUCAUCAUGCCCCUUAUGGCCUGGGCCACAAACGUAAUACAAUGGCGUAUACAAAGGGAUGCGAAAGGGCGACCUGGAGCAAAAACUCACAAAGUACGUCUCAGUUCAGAUUGGAGUCUGCAACUCGACUCCAUGAAGGCGGAAUCGCUAGUAAUCGCGGAUCAGCAUGCCGCGGUGAAUACGUUCUCGGGGUUU
This 299-nucleotide ribosomal RNA is filed under the name uncultured Erysipelothrix sp. RNAcentral's name for it is "partial 16S ribosomal RNA". It matches the Rfam family "Bacterial small subunit ribosomal RNA", at positions 1084 to 1382 of the family's 1533-position model. The record is from RNAcentral. Lineage: Bacteria; Bacillati; Bacillota; Erysipelotrichia; Erysipelotrichales; Erysipelotrichaceae.